This 619-nucleotide long non-coding RNA is filed under the name Ananas comosus (pineapple). Its description in RNAcentral is "long non-coding RNA (ACOM_LNC003541)". The record is from RNAcentral. Lineage: Eukaryota; Viridiplantae; Streptophyta; Magnoliopsida; Poales; Bromeliaceae.
UUGCUUUCUUUUGGCAAUUUUUGACAAAAAGGGGGAGAGCGUAGAACAGGGGGAGAGCAUGGAUGAGAACAGGCAAUGAACUAAGCAGAGGAUGAUGAGUUCAAGAACAAAGGGGGAGAUGUGAUCGAGAUGUGAAGAACAAAGGGGGAGAAGGUAUAAGAAUUUAAGGUUAAUCAUUUUUGAAUGAAUUGUUUUGCAGGAUUUCAAGACUUCAAGACUCCUAGUGCGUCUAAGUCAUAGAGUCUGUUUUAGGAGUUUUGUUGUAAUUUUGAGUUUCAAAUUGUAUUUGGAUUACACGCGAGGAGUUCAAUGUUUUGGUGAUGACAAUUGAACUUCAUUUUUCUGUAAAUUGUAAUUUUUGAGUUGGUGUGUGUUUUGUCACGAAAUUACCAAAGGGGGAGAUUGUUAAGUCUUGUGUAUUGGCAAGUUUCGUGAAGUGAGUCGGAGUCUUGAAGAACCGGUGCGUAUCAUCGAAGAUCGAAGAAUUCAAGAUUUCGAAGAAGUCAGAAAAUAACUCACGACGUGAAUCACGAUGCUCUGGUAAAGUUUUAAUUCAUGUUAUGGUGAUUCAUACUUAGUUAUAGGCAUUAGAAUCAUAAACUCAAAGUUUAAUGGAUUA